This 464-nucleotide ribosomal RNA is filed under the name uncultured bacterium. RNAcentral describes it as "partial 16S ribosomal RNA". It matches the Rfam family "Bacterial small subunit ribosomal RNA", at positions 28 to 507 of the family's 1533-position model. The record is from RNAcentral.
GACGAACGCUGGCGGCGUGCUUAACACAUGCAAGUCGAACGGAAAGGCCCUGCUUGCAGGGUACUCGAGUGGCGAACGGGUGAGUAACACGUGGGUGCUCUGCCCUGCACUUCGGGAUAAGCCUGGGAAACUGGGUCUAAUACCGGAUAGGAGCCAUUUUUAGUGUGAUGGUUGGAAAGUUUUUUCGGUGUAGGAUGAGCUCGCGGCCUAUCAGCUUGUUGGUGGGGUAAUGGCCUACCAAGGCGGCGACGGGUAGCCGGCCUGAGAGGGUGGACGGCCACAUUGGGACUGAGAUACGGCCCAGACUCCUACGGGAGGCAGCAGUGGGGAAUAUUGCACAAUGGGCGCAAGCCUGAUGCAGCGACGCCGCGUGGGGGAUGACGGCCUUCGGGUUGUAAACUCCUUUCGCUAGGGACGAAGCUUUUGUGACGGUACCUAGAGAAGAAGCACCGGCUAACUACGUG